Pan troglodytes (chimpanzee) is the source of this 300-nucleotide long non-coding RNA. RefSeq lists it as uncharacterized. Lineage: Eukaryota; Metazoa; Chordata; Mammalia; Primates; Hominidae. The record is from RefSeq and is a predicted model, not a curated record. The transcript is spliced from 4 exons.
GAGGUUCAGCAGUCUAGGAAAGUGAUGAUGGUGUCCAUCCUUCCUGUUGUUCCCAUGAUUUCACUUCAGUUGUCCUAGGAAAAAAUGGUGUCCUGUAGAGAGAAAUGCUGUCUUCUGGGACCACGGCCCUGAGCUUGGGGGCCCUGUCAGCAUCCAGGUUCCCGGGAGGAAAUCCUGACUAACCAGAGACACGAUCAGGGGACGUGUCUGCUAUCUGGUCCAGGAGAGAACGUAUGAGGUAUGUACCCUGUGAGUGCUGAUUGAUUGGCACGUGCCCAGGGAACUCACAUGGCACUGUGC